This is a long non-coding RNA of Oreochromis aureus, 1537 nucleotides long. RefSeq lists it as uncharacterized. NCBI's taxonomy places the organism in Eukaryota, Metazoa, Chordata, Actinopteri, Cichliformes, Cichlidae. The record is from RefSeq and is a predicted model, not a curated record. The transcript is spliced from 2 exons.
UGCAGAGCUGAGCGUCGACCGCCUUUGUGACAUUCACCAUAAUGAGAGUUUACAAUCAAAUACGUAGAAAAGCGUACGUGAUUUUAGAAGGGAAAUCUACAACAUUUUAAAAAUUUUUAUACAUUUAUUUAAGAGUGUAAUAGUCCUCACAACAAAGUAAUCGAUCAUUUCUUUGCCUUAUGACAGCAGCGUGAUGCGAUGCAGAAAAUAUGGAAAUAAAGGAAGAUAUUCUAAAAAAUUGUUUUUUAUAAAGUCACCACAAACAGAUGCAAAAUAAUUAUAUGUAGAAUUAACAAAAUACACGAGACAAUCGUCCAAACAUACGUAGUGAAAUAAUAACUUUUAACAGAAUAGAAACAGUUGAAAUAAAAAGGUGUGUUUACAUCUGUGUGAGUCUUUCUUGCUGGUACUCACGGUCACGUUACUUUCUCCUCUCAGCCUGGCUGUACGUAUAUCUUCUUACAUACAGAGUGGAGCAGACAGAGAAACAGCAAAAGUAAAGGUAAUAUUAAUAUUGUUGACAAAGUCAUACUUUAAGUGCAAUAAAAGUCUGAAAGUCUCUCAAACUUUGAAGCCCUGGAAAUUAUUAUGAGUCGGCUUUCCUCACAGUAACCACAAACCUGCAUGAAUAUUCAUACCAAAUUAAUGAGAAAGACGUUUGUCCUUGUCAUUUCAUCAGCUGCACCUUUGUGUUAUCAUAAAGUGACUCACUGAGCGCUUUUCUAACCUCAUUAAAAUUCAAAAGGUGCAAUGUUGAACUGAAGGGAUGGUGAGUUUGUCCAAGGUUUUCUUCUGUGCCUGAAAAACACUCGAACCUUCGGCGCCUUUUGUUUCCUUGGAUCUCGACACGGCGACGUUAAUGAUGCUGCCAUUCAACCCGUCGCUCAUAAAUGGAAAAACAUCAACAGAAACCAGCAUAGAGGAGGAUGGAGGUGGGCUGACGUUAAUGCUGCAUUCACAGAAAUUUGGAGUUUUUUGCUCCUCAGACACGGAAACAUGUCCCAGUGCUUCCUGACAUUCAACUGUUCGGACAUCCCUCAGAAAUCAAUUUGCUUUCCAGUGUAUUCAAACUCUGAAGAAAGAGCCUUCUGCUUCCAGGGAGAUUGCACAGUCAUCAGGAUUUCUGAGGAAGUGCCAGCGUCAGGGUAGGAGUGAUUUUUCUGAACAGAACAAGAGAAAAGGUUUUAUUUUUUCCCUUUGCUUCAUUUCAACAGGGGAGCACAGAGGUGGUGUUGAAGAAGAGCCAGCGAGGAACUCUGCGAGAGCUGCGACAGGUCUUUAAAGAAGAAAUGAAAACACUGCAUCUUCUUCAACAUACACGUUUUAAAAGAACUGCCCUGGCAGUUUUAUUCCUUUAAUGCAAUCGUCAGGUCUUAACCUCAUAGCGGCCUGCCACCUUGCCUUUCCCCAACGACCACAGUUUCUACAGUUUUUUUGUGUGUAAAAACCUUUUUGCACAUUCUGCAUUUUAAAAUAUUUCAAUAAUAUCAACACUGAGGAAUACAUUAUAAACUAUGAAUAAAUACGUGACAAAAUA